Molecule: long non-coding RNA, 5007 nt
Filed under: Capsicum annuum
Lineage: Eukaryota; Viridiplantae; Streptophyta; Magnoliopsida; Solanales; Solanaceae
Description: long non-coding RNA (CANN_LNC018490)
Source: RNAcentral
UCUGAUACCAUGAUAAUAUGACCUGAAGAGAAAGGAAUUGUGGAAAUUUUCUAUGAAUUUCUCAAAUCAUCUACUCAAUGCAUAUAUACAAGAUACCUAGAUAAUAUACCUAGAGAAUCAAAACAAAACCAAUAAACUUUGUACACUUGUAACUAUUCUAUUGCCUAACUUGUAACAAGUUUUUUAUCUCUUUACUAUGUAUUAUGUACAGCUGUGCAUUUGAGCCAAAUUCUGUUGUAGUUUCUAUUGUUGUUGUGAGCUGGUUUAAUAGGCCCAAUUUGUGAUGAAGGUACAAUGUGUUGUUGCUCAAAUAACUCGUGCCUCUUCUUCUUGUGAGAGAUAGAUGAUGAAAUCUUAACUCUAUCAGUAAUUAACCUCCACUAUCCCACGUGUUUCCACAUCCUUAAACUCCUUCUCAGCCACGUCUUCUUAUUUUGAUAUUUUUAAAAAGAAAAUCAAAAUCAUCUUCUCAUACUGCUUAGUGAAACUGUGUUCUUUGGGAAUGAAAUUCCACAAUUGAAAUUCUUCUGCGUUAUAAGGUAGGUGUGUUGAGAGCAAUUACUUAUUUUUGUGAUGUAAUUUUCGCCAAUUUCUGUUUUUAUUUUUGAUUUUGAGAUGUUUCUAGGUAAGGUUAAUUUGCUUCUUUUGAAUUCUUUUACUAUUUAAUAUGAGGGUUGAAAUUUGUAUUCUGGGAUUUGUUUAAGACAAUUAUUUAAUUUGUGUAUACUUUAGUUGGAUAAUUUUAUUUGAAAUAUGCUUUUGCAGAAAAAGCAUUUGGUUCUCUUUCAACAGAUUUUGACUUUGGAAUGACAAUUUACCAGAAAAAUUUACUUUAAUCAGAGAAACUAAAAUCCCUACUAUAAGUUGCUCAGCCUUUCCAAAAAUAUUGCCACACCGUGUCAGAUCCUUCAGAAAUACACUAUUUUUGGAGGAUUCGACACACUCCUGAUAGAUAUUUUUGAAGAGUCCGAACAUCUUAUAUUAUAACUUUAAUUGAAAGGUACAUAGUUACUGCAUUGUCAUGUUGGAGCGCUAAAGGUUGAUAGUCUGCAGAAACUCUGUUCAUCAGUGAAUCCAAUAAGGUGAAACAGUGUCUGAUGUCCUGUCUUACUACUAUAUGAAAUUGUUGGCUUUUCAAGGUGUGGAGUUUUAUCUUUUGUCCAGUAGUGUGUUAGCUUUAGUUCGAGGAAUGAAACAGUAUUAGUGGACUUUCAUGCUAGGUUGAUCCAACUUCAAGUUGAUUUCCUUGAGGUUCUCUUGGCUCAUGACUUUCAUCUAUCUGGUCUCAAUUCUUGUGUGAUGCUUUAGGAUCAUAAAUAUACUAAUGCGGGUUAGCCUUUUGCUUAAUUUUAAUUUUAUGUACAAGUGUAAGUCUGUCUGUCUUUUAUUAAUGUAGAAUUGUCCCUGUUAGUAUAGAAGGUUGACUUUUGGUAGAGAACCAUAUUUAAGUAAACACUAUCUAAUUUUAGUGCAAUGCUGCAUAUUGGAGUUCUUCACAUCAAUUAAAUUACCAACCUUAUGAAAAGAAAAACGAACUAAUCAUACCUCCUAUUCUAAUACUUACAAUAUUUCAAAAUUGUUUAACUGUCUAAUUAGCUAUUUAUGUUCUUCUAAUGUUAAGAGUAUACAACUUUCAGCAACUACAGUGUGUUGUCCGACAAAUAAUUACAAUGACAGUAUAUCUAAGAGUUUCAUGUAAGUUUCCACUGCUACAAAAGUUUACUUCAGACGUAUUAUUAUUGGGCUGCAUUUAGGUACAUAUUACUUUAGUUAAGAGAUUAAAUUUUUCUGAUAUUUUUAUAACUCUAAUAAUAGAUCUUUGGAGAGUUUGAGACCAUAAGGGUUGACAAAAUUAAAAAUAUUAGACUUAUUAUAGAAAUAUCAGUAUUAUGCUUAAUAAGAGUGUCUUUUACAAAGAUGAGUUACAAGUUUGUUUGUUAUUGCAAUUUGCAUAGUACUUUGCUUUGUAGAACGAUUGUGCAUUUUUUUUUUUUGGUUUGUUAACUUUCUUUCAUAUGUAUAAUUUCCACAGGUAAACAUAAGGGAUUUUCAAAAUGCAACCGCAAACUUUCGCAGAGAUAAUAUAAGUUUCAGCCCAAUUCUUAAUCACUGUGUAUUACAUGACUUUGGCGAUUUGAUUUAGAAAAAUUUAUCUACUCAGAAAUCUUUGAAUGCUGAAUAGGUAGUAUCAAACUUGGCCGAGAUACAAGAACUAUUCAUGGUAUCUUUGGCGGUUUGCAAAGCAAGACAUACCGAGUUCAAUCUUCUGGUACAUAUCUCUUUGUCUCUGUUGUAAUAUAUACAUUUUAUACUGAAUAGCUUUAUAUGUUUUAAUCUUCCAAAUAACUUAUAAAGAAUUCAUAUAGGAGCGUGAGUAGUUUAUUGAUCGAUUUAUUGUUAUUAUUUUAAGUUCACGAUUUAGUGUGGAACUAUGGAACUCCUGGUGCCAUAAUAGAAAUUUGUCAAUUCAAUUUCAUUUUAGAGUAUUGUUCUACUUUCUAGCAUGUAGAUCUUCUUUUAUCAUAUCUUCUUACAGCUAUUGUAAUUCAAUCUUUAAAAUAGACUGUGAGGCAAUUGUUCGCAUUGACUCAGCUUCAAAACAUUGAUUUAAUAGAUAGGAUUAUAGGAAGGGUAAUGGAUCAAGAAAGGUCACGGAUGAUUAUUAUGAGCAUACGAGGAAAAUCUGAGUCAUUAUGAAUAGUUUUUUGGGAUAUGAACUGAUUGCUGCAUAAUGGCCCUUUGACUUGCUGCAACUUCUUGUGAACCUCUCUCACGUAAGUUUAAAAAUUCUCAAAGUGGUCAGAAUAUUUUUUAGCCUAUUGUAAUGUCCAAGCACUUCAGAUAAUAAAAGAGUUUUUACUACAUUUCAUAUUUUUUGUCCGCUCUUUUAAGUUAUUUCUUCUGGUAUUAUGUGCUCUAACCUUUCUAUAAUUAUGGAUAUGUUAUUAUAGCAGUUGAUUUUCAUGCAUAUGAUGCAGACUAAGCAUCAUUCAUUAUUUAUUUAUUUGUUUAUUUCAAUUGUUACAUUGGUAUUUUUUUACUACUACUCUUAGAUGGAUACUUCCUAAAUUAAUUUGACUCUUGGCACAUGGACGUAUCUUAAUCUCCAGCAAUUUAGUUGUGUAAUUUUUUUUGUUUUUCAGUAGAAGACAUGAGAGAUGUAUCUUCAUGUUCAACUUUUCAUAAGUUUUGAAUAUGUUGGGUUAACUUCCUUUAAGAAUUCAACUUUAAAUUUUUUUUUUUUAUUUGAUAAUGAAAAUUUUAUUGUGGUUUCAUUGAGAAGUAUUUUUCAUCUCUCCAACUUUGAUAGCUGUAACUUCAUCUAUAGUAUCUUUGUGUGUAUCAAUUUGAUCAGCUUUGCACGGACGACUAAGACCUACUCAUUAUGAAGGUAAUUUUACCAAUUUACCCAUUAAUUUUUUUUUUUUGGGAACUUUACAAAUAAGUGUAAGUACUUUCAAAAAUAAUUAAUUGUAAGAGUAAUAUUGAAAAAAAUUAAUUAAUGUUUUCUUGAUUUAGUAAGGUGGACAACAAAUAUGAUACAACUAUUUUUAAUAAAGGAAAAAUGGUCAAUUAAAUAACUGACUCAUGUAGUUAAGUGAUUUUGCGAGCAAAAUGAUUAGUUUUAAAUUUAGAAUUUUUGUCAUUCCAAUGGAAUCAAGAUAAGAUGUGAUUCUACACAUCCCUCUAUAUCCAGAAUUCUCGAUUACUUUCUUAGGAUGUUGGAGGUCCUGUUGUGGUCCCCUCGAGUUGUAAGUCAUAGAAAGUUUAAUGUAAUUUUAUCCUUGGCAACAUUGCUCUAUAGAUUACAGUUAUAUCUUCUUUAAACAAACAGAACUCAAAAUGAGAAUGUCUCUAAUUAUUUGAAAUUCACAUGAAAUUAUAGAAAAUUCUUAUAGUAUUCAUUAAAUAUUCAUCUGAUCAACUAAUUUUCUCUCUAUGUUAUGGCAGGUUCCGAAUUAAGAAAAGGGUGGCGACCCGACAUAGUACAAUAGAAAUGCAAAAGGUCAACUAGUAAGGAUAUCCUUUAAUUUGAUGCAUAUUACUCAGUAUAGUGGAUGAGAAGAUCAACGAAAAUUGUAAUGUUGGAAUUUGAGCAUGUUCACAAGUUUAUGGGUGUAAUUAUUUCGGAUCCUAAUGACAUUAACAACCAUUUGCUAAGGUUGGUUUGAAAAACUAUCGAAUGUGAAUUUCAAUGAAGUAGAUGUAAAUGAAGCUAUUUAUUGAAGAGAAUGGUUGUUUAAGUUGCCUUACCUAUAUGUAUUGAUCAUACCUUAUUUACCUUAUUUGGGUCAACAUUGUUGCUGACAAGCUUCUUGAUGCAACUAAAAAUUAAUUACAGUUCUUAACUUGCCACAACCACAGAGGGUAGCACGAUCACCUCUUGAGGUCUUCUUUUUCAAAAGAUAAUUUUAUGGAGCUGUCUGCAAUAAUAUGAUUUGUUAUUCGGUAAAUAUUGAUCUUGCUCACUCCUUGAUAAAUUGGGCAAGAUUUCAUUCAAAAGUUCUCUACUUUCUUAAAUUUCAUGCAAAGUUAAAAAGGGCAAACAAAUUAAGACGGAUAAAGUAGGAAAGAUGUCCAAUUUGUAGUAUGGUGAAUUAUUCCUAUGAUGAACUUUCAGGUCAAUAAUGUUGUUAAGCUAUUCAACAAUGAGUUGAGGGUGUAUUCUGUUUGGGUUUUGCAUAAUUAUAUAUUUAUUGGGAGUGAAUUUAGCAUUUUUUUUAAUUAUUAUCCCAUUAAAAUAUGAUUGAACUAUUAAAAUAUGAUUAAGGAUAGUAUAUUUGAUGUUGUCAAAUGCAAGUAUAGCGAUACUAACAAUUCAUCAUAAGGAAAGCUUUCAUUUUAGACAUAGUACAAAACUAAUUGUGAGAAAAAGAGUCUUUAAGUAAGUUUUUGAGUGUUUAUUAUUUUUCAAGAAUACUAUUUUUUAUGAUCACCUUUUCUUAAAAUUAUUCAAAUUAUCCGUGCAAUGCACGGGAUCGUGUGCUAGUAAUUAUAAAAGUUUGC